UGAUGCAGCGACGCCGCGUGAGGGAUGACGGCCUUCGGGUUGUAAACCUCUUUCAGUAGGGAAGAAGCUCCUCGGAGUGACGGUACCUGCAGAAGAAGCGCCGGCUAACUACGUGCCAGCAGCCGCGGUAAUACGUAGGGCGCAAGCGUUGUCCGGAAUUAUUGGGCGUAAAGAGCUCGUAGGCGGUUUGUCGCGUCUGCUGUGAAAACGCAAGGCUUAACCUUGCGCCUGCAGUGGGUACGGGCAGACUAGAGUGCGGUAGGGGAGACUGGAAUUCCUGGUGUAGCGGUGGAAUGCGCAGAUAUCAGGAGGAACACCGAUGGCGAAGGCAGGUCUCUGGGCCGUUACUGACGCUGAGGAGCGAAAGCAUGGGGAGCGAACAGGAUUAGAUACCCUGGUAGUCCAUGCCGUAAACGUUGGGCACUAGGUGUGGGAUCCAUUCCACGGGUUCCGUGCCGCAGCUAACGCAUUAAGUGCCCCGCCUGGGGAGUACGGCCGCAAGGCUAAAACUCAAAGGAAUUGACGGGG
This 528-nucleotide ribosomal RNA is filed under the name Georgenia satyanarayanai. Its description in RNAcentral is "bacterial SSU rRNA". It matches the Rfam family "Bacterial small subunit ribosomal RNA", at positions 384 to 918 of the family's 1533-position model. Lineage: Bacteria; Bacillati; Actinomycetota; Actinomycetes; Allobogoriellales; Allobogoriellaceae. The record is from RNAcentral.